This is a non-coding RNA of Oryctolagus cuniculus (rabbit), 9336 nucleotides long. The record is from RefSeq and is a predicted model, not a curated record. NCBI's taxonomy places the organism in Eukaryota, Metazoa, Chordata, Mammalia, Lagomorpha, Leporidae.
ACCGGAGGGAAGCGGGUGUGGCCCGGGCCUCCUGGGCUGCGGGGGUUGGGGCCAACCUGGAAGCGAGGAGGCAGGGAGGGAAGGUUGUUGCGGGCAGCUGAGGGCUCCUGAGGUUCCGGAGGCCCACAGCCGGGCUGCAAAGCUUUUCAGGGCCGACCUGCCUUCCGGGCCGUCUCGGCCCGGCCGAGUCGUUUCCUCCGGGCGGAGGGUUUCCCCAUUGGCUGCGUUAUUUGAAUGGAAUGGAGGACAGGUCUCGAAUUAGGCGCUUGUGGUUGCUCUCUGAGGCGCUCAGAUGAACUUGAACGUAUCAGUGUUGAUAACGGCCUUUUUAAACGGGGUGUCUGUCGCCGAGGGCGUCGGUAGUGUUUGCCGAGGUGACCACCUAUUGACGAGGGUAGACCUGCGGUAAUUGCUGCGGCUUCCUGCCAGUCCCCGGUGUAGAAACGUCUUCCUUCUUACUCUUGCUUGGCAGAGAAACAGAUCAAGAGACAUGGGGAGAUCUUCCAUCCACUGCUUCACUCCCCAAAUGCCCAAGACCCAAGUACUUGAGACUUCAGCUGCUUGCCCAGUGUGCAUUUGCGGGAAGCUGGAUCAGAAGCAGAGUAGCAGGGACUCCAACCAGCUUUAAGGUUGGUUGCUGUAUCACUCUCUUGAAUCACUUGCCCUGAGGAAUCAAACAGCCAAGCCUGAAGACACUUAGGCAACUUUAUGGAGAGGCCCAUCCCAAGAGUAACUGAAGCCUCCAGCGAAGUGAGUGACCUUCUUGGAAGCAGAUCCUCCAACUCCAAUCAAGCCUUCAGAUAAAUGACCACAGAUCUGGCUGGUAGUAGCUGAGAAUGUUUAUUUUUUUUUAUAUCGCUAAUGAUUUUUUAGAAAAACAAAGAUGACUAUGAAACAGAGGCCAGAUAUGGCAUGCAGUAUCUAAACUAUUUACUAAUUUACAGAUGAAGUUUGCUGACCUUUCCACUGCUACUACGGAGAACAGUCAUGAACUUUUCCCACAGCUUUUCAACAUUUUCUCCAAUUCAAAGUCCUUGGUGUAAAUGCACAGUUGAUCAAGACUAGGUGUACAUCCUGUUGAAGGAUUAUGAAAGGCAGCAUGGUGUUUCCUCCCACCAGGACUGAAAAAUGAGAAUUUUCUCCAAAAUAGAGUGUUCAGAUGCCAGUAACAAAAUCUGACAUAACUCUGUUGAAACCAAUCAAAUUAGUUCUUAGUAUUAACAGACAAAGUCAAUUUGUCCAGAUAAUAGUGUUCUACAGAGACUGUUUAGUAUUCUAGUCAUCAUCUACUUUGGUUCCUGUGCUGCUUGAUUUCUCCCUUUUCUUUCAGUUUUGAGAGCAGCCCCAUAUUCUUUCAACACAUUCAAUUGUGCUUAAAGUCAGUUAGUUUCUAUGCUGGUAACAAAGAAGUUUUCCCUGGCAACAAUGUUAUUGCUGUUUUGCAGAGAUCAUCAGAAAGGAUGUCAAGCUUGAUAAUAACAUUUUAUUUCUAAAACUAUCUUGGAACAAUUUGGGGAGGGUAGCAGGAAUGCUAAAUAAGUUGCAAUGCACCGGAAUGAUAAAACAAAAAUGAAAUGUCCUUCUCAAAAUUGCUCUACUGUUGAGAAAUACUGAAAAUAAAAUGACAAAUAGCUCAUACCAAAAAUUGAUCUUGAUGCCACACUUAAUUCUAAUGUCUGCUCUUCAGUCCACAAAAUAAUAUUGAUAGAUUACUAUAUAUUCAUAUUUCCCAUUUUCUAGUUAUUCCUGAAUCUAAUAAUUUUUCUCCACAGCCAUCAUUUCCUAGAAACUGGUAUCAUCAAGAUGGGCACUCAUAUUUUUGUCAAAUUGAAACUAUUUGUAUCAUAUUAAAUAUGUCCUCCUUUUUGAAAAUACUUAUUUAAAAGGCAGAGUAACACAUAUGGGGGGGGGGAUGGUAGUGAGAGAGAGAGAAAGAGAGAGAUCUUUUAUCCAUUGGUUCAUUCCCCAAAUGGCUGCAACAGCAGGGUCUGGGCUAGGCUAGGCUGAAGCCAGGAGUCAGAAACUCCAUCCUGAUCUUUCAUAUGAGUGGCAGAGACUCAAAUACUUGGGCCAUAACCUGUUUCCUAGGCACAUUAGCAGGGAACUGUAUCAAAAGCAGAGUAGCUGGGACUCAAAAGCUUUCUGAUCUAGGAUGUAGGCUUAACUCAUUAUUCCACAAGGCCCAAACUAUGAACUCCUUGUUUUUCCUUAUAAAUCUCUAAUUACUUUUCAAAACUCUUUUAUAGCUGCCCGUCCCCUUUGUCUGCCUUCAUCUUAUUUCACAGGAUUCUUUUUUGCUCAUUUUUUUCACUCUCUCUACCUAGUUUUUCUCAGACCCUCACCUCAAAGCUAAGUAUUUCAUUUAAACUUCAGACUCAUUUAUACACUAUUCAAGCCUAAUACACAUGAAAUGGAACUUGAUAUCUUCCCACAUAUACUUGCUUCUUCUGUAGUCUUCAUUUUGGCCAGUGACCUUGAUGUACUUAAUACUUUGGGAAUCUAUUGAAGAGAAACUUAUUCCAGGUGGCAGGGGAAAGGAAGAGCAAAGAAAGCAAUGCCUUCCUGGAGGAGGUGACACUUAACCUAGAUAAGUUAGCUAGGAGGAAUUGGGUGAGAUGUUUGAGAGUGAUGCAGUGUGAAUUAGGGAGGACAUAAUGCAGAGAAACAGAGGUUGGAAAACCAAAGCCCAAAGGCAAACAAAAACCAUGCUACUAAAAGCAAAACUAAUUCAGAUUCAAAGCAUACAUGGGUUUUUGGCAGAAGGAACUGGCAAAAUAUAUAGUUGGAAAGGUAGGCAGGAAAUAUGUCAUGAAGAACCUUUUAUACCAUGCUAAGAAGUUUGGAUCUUAUCCUAUCAGGUCAGAGUUUACAGACUGAUUGCCCACAGGCAACAGAAGUGGUUUGUUUGGCUCAUGUGGGCUUUAAAAAUCUGUCAAAUAUGUUGUCAAAAUUUCAAAAUUUCAUAUCAAAAUCUGAAUUUCCAGCAUCUUCUGAAGAAUUGUCAGUUCUGGUCACAUUUUUCCACAUUGAACAGGCUGUCUCGUCACCUCUCUGUAAUAGUUAUCCAUCUGAUCUGCUUUAUUCAACUGUGACUGAUGUGAACUACCCACCCAUUGUGAGCUUUGGGAAAUUGCUGCUUCCACUUCAGAUGACAGCGAGUCAUUGAAGAACUGUUAACAGGGGAAUAUUAUUGUCAGAUAUUUGGAUUUUGGAAGAAAAAUAGAGGUAUAGGGCAAAGGGUACCAAAAAGAAUGAACUGAAAAAUCUGGGGCAAUAGUGUUUAGGGAAGAGAGAACAAACAUAUCUUAUUAAUCCAUACACCAUUUACCCUCUUAAACCACCAGAUAGAGCAGAGGAGGCAAGCCAGUGACAGUAGAGAAAUAACAAUUGAAGAUUGAUAUACAGCAUGACUGUUAAAGAGAGCAGGCCAGAAAUCAAGAAAGCUUAAGACUGAGUGUAUGUAGGGUGUAAAUGUGGUAUAUCCAGGUAUAAAUCUAGUGGAUGACAGGGUCUAAUUUUGUUGAAACCCUCAUUUACCACAUUGCCUAUUAAAAAUAAGUUUGCAUUAAUUGAGCAGUUUGCUUUUCAUGGUGAUCAGUUCAAAUGGAUAUACUUUCACAUAUCCAUAAUAACUAUAAAUCAGUGAAUUAUAUAUCAUUCAUGAGUUAAGCUCUAGGAAAGAAUUAAAGAGAAAGGAAGUUUUACAAUGAACUUGAUGAUCACUAGGAACUAUUAAAAAUUCUUGAAAAAUGACCCAUACUCCCUAAUUGGUUUCUUGCUUAUUGGUUUUGUAGGAAUGCUGGGCUAAGUCAAGAUUAUGGAGAGCUACACUCAGAGUAGGCAUAAUUCAUAAAAUUUGUCUAAGUUGGCUUAUCUCGAUAAAUACAUGAUAGGGUUUCUUAUCCUGAACACAUUAUUUCUCAAACUGUAUUAGCUUUCUAUUUUUUUAAGCCUCCCUAAUAUCUAGUUUGCUUUCUCCACUCUCAAUUUAUUUUAAAUUAUUUCAAAUAAUAUAACAAAGUAUAAUGAAGAGUUAAAUGAACACACAUAAAUAAUUUUUAACAUUUUUGCAUACACACUUCAUAUGUAAACAUAUAUACACAUAGAUACCAUUUUUGAAAGCAUAGGUGGUAAUGGUAAUAUCACAAAACAUGAAAUUAAUAACAAAAACCAAGUGAGGACAGAAGGGUAUUUUUUAACAUAAGGAGUCUAAUUCAUUAAAGACACAUUUAUAUAUAUCUGUAUACCAAAUAAUGUGGAACCCACACAUUUUAUACUAUACAUAUAAUAUUGACUUUGACAUAUCAGAGAAAAUAGGAAAUUUAUCUUUUUUGUGUCUACUUACUUCACUUAACAUAAUGAUGUCCAGUUCCAUCAAUUUCAUUACACAUAUAAGGAUUACAUAUUUUUAUAACUGAAUGAUGUUGUCACAUCAUGUUCUUUAUCCAUUCAUCCAUUGAUGGAUAUAUAGGUUGAUUCUGUGUCUUUAAUAGUGUGAAUUGGGUUUGGUGAUCAGUAGAUGACUUAAUGUUUUCUUCUUUUGCUUAUUGAAAAUUGCAUACUUCUAGUUUCCCAAAUUAUGUAACUUUUACUUAAGUCACCAAUAUUGUUACAUCCAUUGUAUAUAUCUUUAUCUCUCUGACUCAUAAUCCCUCUCACUUCUGAUAUAUGUACACACACAGAAUAUAUAUAUUUAUUUGUCUUCUAUAUGUAUACUGUAUGUAACUUCUUUGAUUUUUUCUUUCUUUGAUUUUUCAUUACUUCCAGACUCAUUCUUUCCAAUUUUAUUUUUACUUAUACUCAUUAUUAAAAAUAAAAUUUUAUAACUAUGAUCUUUUUUCUACCCAUUAAGUAGAUCCUGGAGUAAUAAGGAUAAAGAAGCCUGUAUAUGCUUCAUUUACAUUUAUGUUGGCAAAAGAAGAUAUGAAAGACUCAUUGAAAAAGAUGAGGUUUAUAUUUUCCAUAUACACAGAGAUAUGUAAGACAAAAGUAAACUGAAAUUAUGACUAGAUUGAUUUCUUUUAAGUUACAUCCAAGGCAUCAGCACUGUGGCAUAACAGGUAAACAACAGCAUCCACAUGGGUGUUGGUUCGAGUCCCAGCUUCUCCACUUCUAAUCCAGCUCCUUGCUAAUGUGCCUGAGAAACAGUGGAAGAUGACCCAAGUCCUUGGGCCCGUGCACCCACAUGGGAGGACUGUAAAAAGCUCCUGGCUCCUGGCUUUGGAUCAACCCAGCUCUGGCCAUUGCAGCCAUCUGGGGAGUGAAUCAGUAGAUAAAGAUCUCUUUGUCUCUCCAUCUCUCUCUCCCUGCCUCUCUCUCUCUCUCUGCCUUUCAAAUAAAUAAAUACAUCUUUUAAAAACAUUACAUCCAAAUAAACACCAAGAUAUUUCAAUCUGGAAAAGUAACAAAGGCAAGAUCAUUUUUUUCCUCAUCCCCUUUCCACCUAAAACACUGCCAUGUUCUAAUCUCUUAGGAGUGCAAAAUGUUGAUAAGACAUCAAUUAAUUCAGAUAAUGAAAUGAAAGCUGUAGCAUUGUUUUUUGUACUUUUAUAGCCAUUGUUGUAUUUUUAUUUGGCAUUUCCUCUGCUUUGCCUUAUCUCAAAUUUAUAUCACAGUUCUACCCUGUCUGUGGAGACACCUACAUAGCAAGGAAUUGUUUCAUGUGAGAGGCCAUCCUGCUAGGGGAUUCUCCAGCCAAAGUGAAACCUUCAUAUGACUUUGUUUUGCAUAUAAUUUCAUGAGAGCCAGAAUCAUCUAGCUAUUCCUAAAUAUUUGACCCAAAGACAUAGGUGAGAUAACUCAUUAUUAUUGUUUCAAGUUAAAUUUUGGGAGGUUAAUUUAUUAUGUAACAACAGAGAAUGAAUGUACUAAUGUCCUAUUGUUCUGAUCUAGAUUCAAACUUGACAUUGUAUACCAGACUUCAUUUUUGUAUAAUACCAUCUACAGAAAGUUUAAACUUAAUGAUGUAAAUGAAUAAAGUCUGAUUUCUAGUAUAAAGAAGAGGUCAAUAAUUGAUGGGUAGGAAAAAUUUUUACAAAUAGAAGUGUAUUUAUUUGCAAGGAACAAAAAGCUAAUCAAAGCAACUGUAAAAACAUGAUAUAUUGAAAAGAUAAAGUCUCAUACAAAUUAUAUUCAAGCGGAAUAGCUGGGUUCUUGGUAAUUAAAAUGUAAAAUGGUGUCUACCUGCCUCUUUCUUUUCUCUAUUACCUUCUCUCACCAAGCUUUUUGUUUUAUUUUUAAAAAUACUUAUUUAUUUGCAAGGCAGAGUUACACAUAGAGAGAGGACAAGAUGAGAGAUGAGAGAGAGAGAGAGAGAGAGAGAGAGAAACAUCUUCCAUCUACUGGUUCUUUCCCAUAUAGUCUCAACAGCCACGUAGCCAGGUCUUGGUCAGGCUAAAGAUGGAAGCCAGAAACUCCAACCUGGUCUCCCAAAUGGUUGACAGGGCUUGGACCAUCUUCCACUGCUCUACCAGGCACUUUAGCAGGAUACACUUCUCUUCCUCUAUCUCCUUUUUGCUAUAUCUUUCUGUCUCUCUUGUUCUCUCCAUAUCUCCCCUUACCCACUUUAAUUUUUGCCCACUCCUCUCUCCAUCACUCUUUCCCUUGAUCCCUCCCUCCCCUUCUACAUUUAUUUAUGCUUCUUCUCUUGUGUCCCUCAUCCCCUCAUCUCUCCUUCCCGCACUUUUGCCUUUCCCUCUUUCCCUUUAUCUCUCCCUGUUUCUCUUUCCUUUUUCUAUUUCUCCAACAUUUAUUGUCACUUAUUAUUUCUGUUUUCUUUACCUUCUUUCUUAAAGGCUGUCUGCUCCUCUCCCUACUUUCAUUCUUGGUUUGGUAUUAGCUCUGGCGUACUUCUAAGUGACCUCACAGUUUCAGAAUUACUAUUUUUGAUUAUAAUAGAGAUUGCAAAAUUGGCUAUCUGUAGCUGAAUUUUACUUACAAAUGUGUGGUUUUUUUGGACCCAAUCUCUUCUCUGAACUUUAAUUGUUAGUCAUAAAUUUGAAACAUAUACAAGGGACUGGUGUUGUGGUGUAGCAUGUAAAACUACUGCUUGUGACACCAGCAUCCCUAGCGGAUGAUGGUUUAUGUCCCAGCUGCUCCAUUUCCAAUCUAGCUCCCUACUAAUGGCCUAAAAAAAGCAAUGAAGAAUAGCCCAAGGGUUUGGGCCCUUGCAACCCACUUGGGGAGACCCAGAUGAAGCUACUGGCUUCUGGCUUUGGCUUGCCCAGCCCUGGCCAUUGCAGGUAUCUAAGGAGUGAACCAACAAUGGAAGAUUUCUCUCUCUCUCUCUUUCUGUGUCUCUGUAACUUUUUCAAAGUAAAUAAAUAAAUCUUUAAAAAACACCAUAAAUGAGCAUAGAUUGGCUCAAGUAAAAUAUUCUUUUACUCUUUGGUAAUUUGGAAUGUAUCUUUGUAUAUAAUAGAUUAGUCUCAUAGUGGAUAUUCACUGUUAAUUUAUUAACAAAAUAUAAAGUAUUACAUACUUAUCAAAACAGUACAGUAGUUUUUUAAGUAUUUUGGUGAAAUCUAUAAAAAACAAAUACUUGAAAUAUCAGCUCUGGACAUUCAAAAAAUUUGGAUAUGAGGAAUAUCACAUUUCAGAUGAUUUUUAUAAAAUGUUAAUUAUAUCAAAUAAGGUAGAAAUCUUAGCUUUUUUCAUUAUUUUAGAAGACAAUUUUGUAAAUAUGAAAUUUUUUAGCUUUUGGUAUAAUAGAGUACAGUAGAUCUUAUGACUCUCAUGACCUUAAAAUUAUUUUUAAAUUGUACAAAAAUCAUUUAAGAUCUGCAUCAACAUCAUCCUAUGCACAAGCAUGAAGCUGGUUUAAUAAGUAGCUAAAAGAUAGGCUUCCUUCUGUCCCUGUACAUAAAGUUAGCACAUUUUUACAUUCCUUACUAGUUAAAAGUAAAAAUAGAUAACGUGAGUGUGUUUUCAUUCUCCAGUUAAACUUAAGAUCAUUUAAAGCAGAUCAACUUCUGCUCUCCUACUUAAGUAUUGUGAAACAUUGUAUUCCUCACGCAUGCUUGAAAAAUGCUUGUGACUUAACUAACUGACUGAUUCUGUGAUAUGCUACUGGGACACUAUCAAACACAGCAGAUUAUUUUCAAGUAUGCCAUGUAUAAGUCCAGUGCAAUCAUUUCUUAGAGAAGGGACUAUCAAUUAAGAUACCCCCAAAUGCCUGCCAUAGGCACCUUUAAAAUUUUUUUGCUUUCUGGUUAUAAAGCUAGUUUACUAUAAUUGCAAGGUUUUCUUGAAAUAAUAAAAACAGAAAGAAAACUAGCAUUGCCCAGAGAUUUGCUACCACUCUGUACACUAUAUAUAUAUAUAUAUAUAUAUAUUUGAAGAUUUUAUUUAUUUAUUUGAGAGGUAGAGUUACAGACAGAAAGAGAAAGAGACAGAGAGAAAGGUCUUCCAUCUGCUGGUUCACUCCCUAGAUGGCUGGAAUGGCCAGAGCUAGGCAGAUCCAAUGACAGGAGCCAGGAGCCAGGAGCUUCCUCUGGCUCUCCCACAUGGAUGCAGGAGCCCAAACACUUGGGCCAUCUUCCACUGCUUCCCUAGGACAUUAGAAGAGAGCUGGUUUGGAAGAGGAGCAGCCAAGACAUGAAAUGGCGCCCAUAUGGGAUGCCCGCAUCACAGGCAGAGGCUUAGCCUACCACACCACAGCUCUGUCCCUGUUAUUUUUAUUUCUUUCAUAUUUACUGAAAUAUAAUUGACAACUAAAAAUUGUAUAUAGGAGCAAACAUUUGGCCUAGGAGUUAAGGCACUACUUGGGAUACCUGUAUCUCAUAUCGCGUACCUGAAUUCAAAUUCUGGCUCUACUCCAAUUCCAGCUUCCUGAUAUUCUUCACCCCUGGAGGCAGCAAGUGAUGAUCCAACUAGUUGGGACCUUGUCAUCCAUGUGUCAGGCCUGGAUUGAGUUCCUGGCUUCUGGCUUUGGUCUGGCCCAUCACUAACUGUUUUGGGCAUUUGGGAAAUCUCUGUGUCUCAAAUAAAUAAAUAAAUUUAAAAUUAAUUAUAUUUAAGGUGUACAACUUGUUUUGAUACAUGAGUGUACUUCAGGAAACUUGUAAAAAUGCACAUUAUAUAAAAACUGCAUGAUUUUCAAUUUUUUUUACAUCAAAGAAAACAUAUUUAAAUUUCAUUUUGUGUAAACAUUUUAAGAGAUACGUUUGAUGAAAUCAAAUUAGUUUAACAUAUCCAUCACUUCACAUAGCUAUCAUUUGUCUUCUUUUUGUGGUGUGAACACUAACCUCUUAGUAAAUUUCAAGAACACAGUGCAAUCCAUAAACUGUACUUUGGAAAUUUAUAUUUACUAAAAAAAAAAAAAAGAAAGAAAGAAAA